GAUGAACGCUGGCGGCGUGCCUAAUACAUGCAAGUCGAGCGAAUGGAUUAAGAGCUUGCUCUUAUGAAGUUAGCGGCGGACGGGUGAGUGACACGUGGGUAACCUGCCCAUAAGACUGGGAUAACUCCGGGAAACCGGGGCUAAUACCGGAUAACAUUUUGAACCGCAUGGUUCGAAAUUGAAAGGCGGCUUCGGCUGUCACUUAUGGAUGGACCCGCGUCGCAUUAGCUAGUUGGUGAGGUAACGGCUCACCAAGGCAACGAUGCGUAGCCGACCUGAGAGGGUGAUCGGCCACACUGGGACUGAGACACGGCCCAGACUCCUACGGGAGGCAGCAGUAGGGAAUCUUCCGCAAUGGACGAAAGUCUGACGGAGCAACGCCGCGUGAGUGAUGAAGGCUUUCGGGUCGUAAAACUCUGUUGUUAGGGAAGAACAAGUGCUAGUUGAAUAAGCUGGCACCUUGACGGUACCUAACCAGAAAGCCACGGCUAACUACGUGCCAGCCGCCGCGGUAA
This 515-nucleotide ribosomal RNA is filed under the name uncultured bacterium. Its description in RNAcentral is "partial 16S ribosomal RNA". It matches the Rfam family "Bacterial small subunit ribosomal RNA", at positions 28 to 523 of the family's 1533-position model. The record is from RNAcentral.